Molecule: long non-coding RNA, 527 nt
Organism: Sphaerodactylus townsendi
Lineage: Eukaryota; Metazoa; Chordata; Lepidosauria; Squamata; Sphaerodactylidae
Exons: 3
Source: RefSeq, a predicted model, not a curated record
GCUCUCCACUGGCGAUCCCGGAGGGAACCGGGCAAGCCCCGGCCGUUCGCCGGUUUUUUGUCUUCUGGCUUCCGUGGGGCGGCUUGUGCGGUUCUUCACGCGGCGCCACCGAACGCCUUUAAUGGGAAUCCCACCAAAUCCCUGGACACAAAGAGCCUUUUUAGUAGCCUUGGAAGCAUACUAUGCUGAGAAGAAAGCAUGUGCCAAGAAAGAGGAAACUCCUAUAAUGGAGAAAAAAGAAUUCACCAGAAAGAGAGAAAAAUCAACAUCCAUUGUCCAUUUUACUCCACAUGUUCCAGAAACUACUUAGCCAAUCCUUUUCCUAUGGGAAAGAAGAUCUGAAGGGACAUGAUCUGUCAUACCGGAAAGCUUAUCAGUGCAGUGGGAAGCUUGGUCCGAACAGUGGCAGCCGCAGCAGCACUAGCAUACUUUUUUUUCCAGAUAAAUUUACUAGAUCAGAAAGAUGAAAUCAAUACAAAUCUGUAUUGGUAAAUGUACCUUCCUUACGUGAUUUGAACUUGUAGUCA